CCCUUAGAUGUUCUGGGCCGAACACGCGCUACACUGAAGGAGGCAGCGUGUACUCCUGGAUCGAAAGAUUUGGGUAACCCGCGAAUCUCCUUCGUGCUAGGGAUUGAGGUUUGCAAUUAUCCUUCAUGAACGAGGAAUUCCCAGUAAGUGCAAGUCAUAAGCUUGCGCUGACUACGUCCCUGCCCUUUGUACACACCGCCCGUCGCUACUACCGAUUGAAUGAUUUAGUGAGGACUUCGGACUGGGACCGAUGCGGCUUUCGGGCUGCGUCGGUAUUCUGGAAAGAUGUCCAAACUGUAUCAUUUAGAGGAAGUAAAAGUCGUAACA
RNAcentral lists this ribosomal RNA (327 nucleotides) under uncultured eukaryote. Its description in RNAcentral is "partial 18S ribosomal RNA". It matches the Rfam family "Eukaryotic small subunit ribosomal RNA", at positions 1470 to 1796 of the family's 1831-position model. The record is from RNAcentral.